RNAcentral lists this ribosomal RNA (449 nucleotides) under uncultured bacterium. RNAcentral's name for it is "bacterial SSU rRNA". It matches the Rfam family "Bacterial small subunit ribosomal RNA", at positions 355 to 796 of the family's 1533-position model. The record is from RNAcentral.
UAGGGAAUCUUCCGCAAUGGACGAAAGUCUGACGGAGCAACGCCGCGUGAACGAUGAAGGCUUUCGGGUCGUAAAGUUCUGUUGUUAGGGAAGAACAAGUAUCGGAGUAACUGCCGGUACCUUGACGGUACCUAACCAGAAAGCCACGGCUAACUACGUGCCAGCAGCCGCGGUAAUACGUAGGUGGCAAGCGUUGUCCGGAAUUAUUGGGCGUAAAGCGCGCGCAGGCGGUUCCUUAAGUCUGAUGUGAAAGCCCCCGGCUCAACCGGGGAGGGUCAUUGGAAACUGGGGAACUUGAGUACUGAAGAGGAAAGCGGAAUUCCACGUGUAGCGGUGAAAUGCGUAGAGAUGUGGAGGAACACCAGUGGCGAAGGCGGCUUUCUGGUCAGUAACUGACGCUGAGGCGCGAAAGCGUGGGGAGCAAACAGGAUUAGAUACCCCCGUAGUCC